AUCCAGUCCUCGAUUAAUUCCCUCACUAGGCAGCUCUCUAACCACAACACCAUUAUACUAGGCCUUAGGCAGGAUCUUGCCAGUGCCAACAAGAAGAUCAAAGAAUUAGAGCGCCGCUAAGUUAUCUAGAUUAGACCUUGAGGCAAUGCAUCUUAGUCAUCUAUCUUUAAAUUCGGUUUAAGUUUGCUAUUAUUAGUUUGCUAUCAGUUUGCUAUCAGUCUUUUGUAAUAAAUGCCUCAAGAUUAAUAAAGAGUAUUAUUAUUAUUAUUAUUAUGUCUUGUGUGUCUCUACUUUAUUUUUGUGCAAGAAAGCAGAAAACAAGUAUGUGGGAGAUCCCUCGACAUGCCAAACACACUCCAACUACACCACUCCACGAUUCAGGUACACACUCUGCACACUUUACACAUACAUUUAUUUUGGAUUAUGCAGAUUAUUGUUCCCGACAUGAUAAGAUGAAAAGAUUAAAAAUAUUUCUAAUCAUGAUUAAUCUCAAUAUAUGAUAUUUCCUGAAAACUUGCAAUUAUUAUAAAAUCAUUUUAAACCUCUGUGUUACUUAAGUCAAUAUGGAAUGGUAGAGUAUGAGUUUCUUAUUCUUGAUAUCAUUGUUGCUUGGAGAAUUUAUUUCAAAAUAUUCAAAAUUCUAGCUACCAUCCUCAAUGUUUUAUACGCCUAAUAAAACUAAAAAUAUUAAUUAUGAUUAUAAAAGCUAUCUACUCUGUAUUGAGUUUGUUCAAAAUGAGUUAGACCCUUGUUGAGAGAUUUAUCAUGCUCCCAAGAUCAAGACAUUAUUUCAGUAAGAUUCACUCUUCCGAAGUAUUAUUGCAUUAGAGGCAUGGGCUAUGCAAAAAUAGAGAUAUUUCGAGGAAAUAAAAAGGAGCAAGUGCUCGACAACCUCGCAGAAAAAAUGGACAAGUGUCCGGCAGUAGAAUUAGGGGUACCUCGGUAUCCACUUAAAAAAAAGAGAGAAAAGAGAAAAAAAAUGAUAGCCCAUGGUCCCUCUAAUAAGCAAUAUGCCAGCAAGAGUUGACAAAGUUUUUAAUUUCCAAAGUCUUUGAUCUAAGAGUAUGACAUUCCCCUCCUCGGAUCCCGUUUUGAUCAGGCAAUAAAUGCAAAGUAAGAAUGCUUGAGAAUUUUUGCAAAAUAAAACAGCCUCAGUGAGAUAUAUAUAUAAAAAAGAUAAUGAGUGAUUUGAGAGAACCUAUGAGGAUCAAAAGGUAUGCUAACUUUCUUUCAAAAAUAUACAAAAACUCCAAGUGAUAGGAUUGAGAAGAAAGGAUCUUUAGUCUUAACCAUAUACUUCCCUGACUAUGGUACACAGUGGAAUUUUAACACCCUGCAAUUAUAUAAAGAAUGUUUUUAAAAUGUUUACCCCAGAUAUUUUUCUUAACCAUCCUUUUCUCGAGGACGAGUAAAAGCCUAAGUAUGGGGGUAUUUGUUGACGGUUCUUAAGUAUCAAUUUUAAUUAUCAAAUAAACAAGAGAAAGGACCAAUAUGCAACCAACACCUAGAAUUAGGGUUUGAUCUGACAGAAUUCCACGAGUUUUGUUGUUUAUCUGUUUCUGCAGGGGGUUAUCAGGAAAUAAGGAAGAAAGGCCCACAUGUCGGGAUUACAUAGAGAUAUCAACGCACCGCGCAAUUUUACACCAUCUAGAAGACUCCAGAAGCCACGAGACCGAAGCGGAGGUGAAACGGGGCCAGGCCCAGGGCGCCUGCCCUGAGGACCUGGGCACCCGCCCCCCUCUGGAGCCAGAUCAGGACUCUCUUCGCUCGGGAUAUUCCACUGACCU
Molecule: long non-coding RNA, 1787 nt
Filed under: Sorghum bicolor (sorghum)
Lineage: Eukaryota; Viridiplantae; Streptophyta; Magnoliopsida; Poales; Poaceae
Description: long non-coding RNA (SBIC_LNC005200)
Source: RNAcentral